GGGCGGUUAGCUCAGUUGGUUAGAGCGCCACAUUGACAUUGUGGAGGUCACAAGUUCGAAUCUUGUAUCGCCCACCA
Molecule: transfer RNA, 77 nt
Filed under: Candidatus Uhrbacteria bacterium CG_4_9_14_3_um_filter_50_9
Lineage: Bacteria; Candidatus Uhriibacteriota
Also listed under: 1 other name
Description: tRNA-Val
Rfam family: tRNA
About the family: Transfer RNA (tRNA) molecules are approximately 80 nucleotides in length. Their secondary structure includes four short double-helical elements and three loops (D, anti-codon, and T loops). Further hydrogen bonds mediate the characteristic L-shaped molecular structure. tRNAs have two regions of fundamental functional importance: the anti-codon, which is responsible for specific mRNA codon recognition, and the 3' end, to which the tRNAs corresponding amino acid is attached (by aminoacyl-tRNA synthetases). tRNAs cope with the degeneracy of the genetic code in two manners: having more than one tRNA (with a specific anti-codon) for a particular amino acid; and 'wobble' base-pairing, i.e. permitting non-standard base-pairing at the 3rd anti-codon position.
Source: RNAcentral